UCCGCGAACAGUGCCGCGACUAGCCUUAAACGGUGGAGCGCCGGAGGUAAACACCGGCGGCGUUUGGUUUUAGGCCUCGGAAUUUCCUUCUGGGCUCCGUUCAUGAAUAUGUCCGGUUCACUGGUCGGCGCCAAAUCCUUCGUUGCAUCUGCCAGGCCGAAGAAUUCUGUGGAAGAGGUAAUAUUUUAAGCUCCAAUCUCAACUUUUUCCUAUUCAGUGAAGAAAAUUCGUUUUUAUUACAAUACCUUUGCAAAAAAAAUUCGGGAAUUCGUUUUUCAACUACUUGAAAACGAAAACUAGAGAGUCACCAAUUUUUUUUUGGCUUUCUUCUGAAUUUGAGCUGUCGGGUGAAAUUCGUUUGGAAUUUGUGACGAUCAUUCAAAUUUCUCUUAAUUCUCUCUAUCUCUCUGAAGAUUUUGAAGAACGUGGAGUGGCCAGAGAAAUUUCCAUUCAGG
This 455-nucleotide long non-coding RNA is filed under the name Cucumis sativus (cucumber). Its description in RNAcentral is "long non-coding RNA (CSAT_LNC000476)". The record is from RNAcentral. Lineage: Eukaryota; Viridiplantae; Streptophyta; Magnoliopsida; Cucurbitales; Cucurbitaceae.